ACUCGAGUGGCGAACGGGUGAGUAACACGUGGGUGAUCUGCCCUGCACUUCGGGAUAAGCUUGGGAAACCGGGUCUAAUACCGGAUAGGAGCCAUCUUUAGUGUGGUGGUUGGAAAGUCUUUUCGGUGUAGGAUGAGCUCGCGGCCUAUCAGCUUGUUGGUGGGGUAAUGGCCUACCAAGGCGGCGACGGGUAGCCGGCCUGAGAGGGUGUACGGCCACAUUGGGACUGAGAUACGGCCCAG
Molecule: ribosomal RNA, 242 nt
Filed under: uncultured Actinomycetales bacterium
Lineage: Bacteria; Bacillati; Actinomycetota; Actinomycetes; Actinomycetales
Description: partial 16S ribosomal RNA
Rfam family: Bacterial small subunit ribosomal RNA
Source: RNAcentral